AUCGCCAGUUGGCUUGGGGUUCAAGCGCAUCAAAAACCUCGCCCACUCUUCGCCUCCUUCCCCAUCAAUGGCGGCUUUUUGACCUCCAUCGCGAAAGUAGUCCUAAAUGUUACCGGUGUUCCGGGCAUCGCUGUCAGACAUCUUCUUCUGAGACCUUUGAAUGCUUUCGAGGGCCCGAAUUCCUAGCUGCGGCCGGGAACUUUAUCGGCUUCCUCGUUGCCUUUGAAUGCUCAAGUUGAGUUGCUGUCCAAGGUAACUAACAAAGUAUAUUUUGACAUACGCAUUGGCAACCCUGUGGAAAAGGACGUUGGGAAAAAUGUGAUAGGAUUGUACGGAGAUGAUGUCCCCCCAGACAGACAGCUGAAAAUUUUCGUGCUCUUUGCACAGGAGAGAAGCGCCUUGGAUAUAAAGGAUCUUCAUUUCAUCGCGUAAUCAAGGAUUUCAUGAUUCAAGGUGGAGACUUUGAGAAGGGAAAUACACCAUGGUUGAACAAGAGACAUGUCGUCUUUGGUCAAGUUCUUGAAGGCAUGGGGAUGUGAUGAGGUUGAUUGAUUCUCAAGAGAUGGAUCGUGGAGAUCGGCCCAAGAAGAGCGUUAUCAUUAGUGACUGGUGAACUACCGGUGGUUUAAACUUUUUGAUUCAGAAUAAUAUCAUCUGUCCCUAGUCAUCACCAUUUUUUCCCCUUAAGAAGUUGCGUUAUGCUUGCCUCAUUGUCACAGAUCCUUACUGUUGUAUGGAUGUAUCCAAAUAGCAUUUUGCAGGCUGUAAUAUGAUCUAUAAGGAAUUAGAAAAAUAAUCAGAGACGUUUUCAUUGCAACAAGAUGCUUGAGAUCAAACGGACAAACUGGAGUUACUCCAUUUUUAGCAGGGAGGCU
Long non-coding RNA from Zingiber officinale, 875 nucleotides. RefSeq lists it as uncharacterized. Lineage: Eukaryota; Viridiplantae; Streptophyta; Magnoliopsida; Zingiberales; Zingiberaceae. The record is from RefSeq and is a predicted model, not a curated record. The transcript is spliced from 5 exons.